CGAAUACGAACCGUGAAAG
Molecule: small nuclear RNA, 19 nt
Filed under: Arabidopsis thaliana (thale cress)
Lineage: Eukaryota; Viridiplantae; Streptophyta; Magnoliopsida; Brassicales; Brassicaceae
Description: snRNA_10942
Source: RNAcentral